UUAGAUUCUCAUCCACAUACAAGAGGGAAAAUAGACAAAGUCACAAAAAUCUAGACAAUGAGUUGGUUGCCCAUCAACUGGGAAAUGCCUAAACAAAUUGGAGUCUUGGAAUGUAAUGAAAAACUAUUAUGUUUUGAGUAAUGAUAGGAGGAAUUCAGAGAAAUGUUGAAAGAUAGUUAAGAAGUACUGCAGAAUGAAAAACCAAGAGAAAAAUAUUUUAUUGCUAGAAUACUAUAAAUGAAAAUGACCUGAAAAAAUCUCAAGCACAGAUAAUGAAAUUAUUUUCUCUUGGCAGUGAGGCAAGGGACUGUCAGUUCUUAAGGGCCAACAUUUGUUUGUAGAUUUUCUUCUUUUUCUGUUAUAAGAAAAGGUAUAAUGAAAGAGAACAGAGAAAUAACUGGUGCAAAAAUAACAGUAAUAACAUUUAUAUAGCAUUUUACAAAUACUUCAUUUUAUCCUCACAACCCUGGAAGGUAGAUGCUAUUAUGAUCUCCAUUUUACAGGGAGGAAACUGAGACAGGCAGUGAUUUGUCCAAAGUCCCACAGCUUGUAAAUCUCUGAGGCAGAUCUUCCUGCCUACAAGUGCAAUGCUUUGUUCUACUUUGCCAUCACCCUGCUCAUAAAACAAAAGGCAUCACUGAAAGACCUUUUCUGCUCCUCCUUGCCCCACUUCCCUCACACAACAGUUAUAUUCUCUCUUUCCCACUUCUUCACAACCUUUUGUUUCUGUACUUUGUGUUUAUCUAUUUGUGCGCACGUCUCUAGGAGAGUGGAAACUCCCUGAAGUCAAGAGUCAUUUCUAUUUUUGUAACUUCCCAGGGCUUACUUAGCACACUGUUUUUGCACAUAGAGAUGUUUAAUGAUUGUUGAAUUGAAAGGAAAUUUUUUUUAAAAUAUAGAAACAAAUUGCAGGCAUUGAAAUUUCCUUAAAAGAAAGGACUUGUACAGUUCCUUCCAACUGUAAAUUUAUGAACCUUAUGACCAGACUAAGUACAGGGGUGUAAGUGCUUCCUGGCAUUCUGAGUUUGAGCACUCACUGACCUGAAUUCCUAUAACCAGUUCAUGUGUUUUCUAGCUUUGGUGAUCUAUUGUUUUCAUUGUCAUUGUCGUUGUCGUUGUCAUUUAAACUCCCCGUGUGGAAAUCCUCUUUACCAGAUGCAGGUGGUAACAAUUUACAUCUGUUUUCAAGAGAUUAUGUUGGAGCUACAAGAACAAGGAAAAAAAUGCUUUUAACAAGUAUAGAGUUUAUAACCAAUUCAUAACAAGACAAAGGAUAGAGAGGAUCAAUCACAGAAGACAGUGGAAAGAUUUGAUUCUAUGAAAUCGUUUUUACACAAACACUUCAAUUCAGUUGAAAUUAGAGGGAAAAAAAUUAAUUGGAAAAAAGCUUUGCGGCAAACUUCCUGGAUAAAGAUUUAAUUUAAUUUGUAGAUGCAUACCUAUCUAUGUAUAGAGCUGGUGUAUUGAUUGAAAUAAAAAUUGCAAGUAUUUCCCAAUAAACAAAUGGUCAAAAGCUAUAAACAGAUAAUUCUCAAAAGACAACCUAUAAACUAUCAGCAGCUCUAUCAAAAAAAUACUUCAAAUCACUAAUUAGAAAAAUUACAAAUUAAGCUUUUAGAUUGUGCCUCACACCUAUCAGACUAACAAAGAUGACA
Molecule: long non-coding RNA, 1655 nt
Filed under: Sarcophilus harrisii (Tasmanian devil)
Lineage: Eukaryota; Metazoa; Chordata; Mammalia; Dasyuromorphia; Dasyuridae
Description: lncRNA (ENSSHAG00000021154.1)
Source: RNAcentral